CUCUCUAUCCUGCUUUCUAUGCACCAUUCAUAGUGACAAUAGUGGUAGGUACAGUGGGGGGGAAAGGAUUUGAUCCCCUGCUGAUUUUGUACGUUUGCCCACUUACAAAGAAAUGAUCAGUUAGUGUUCCCACAUGUCCAUAUCUACAUGUUGCAGCACUUGUUUACGGAAGACAGAGGCUACCACCUUUGCUAAUUAGCUAUCUAGCAUGCUCCAAACACCGUUGUGUAAGUGUAACUUGGGAAGUGUAGUGGAAGUGUAGUUGUCUGAUGGAGGAACCCAUAGCUGUAUGGAUCUGUGCAAAACUGCUACAGUAAGUGUAUCUUUUUUAUUUGAAGGAUCCUUUCUUGCUUAUAAAAGAUAAGGGCCAUGUGUUUCAAAAACCGUAUUGCAAGCGAUGAUUAUUGACGUUUCUAAACAUUAAAACAAUGUCAGGAUUGUAGUUCACGUGAGGUAGUCGUGGGCGAAGCUAAUGGCUGAAAACUAGGGAGAAGGCAGAAGAGGUGGGUAGUAACACGUUACACGUAGUUAAGUACAUUUUUUGAGGAACCAGUACUUUUCUAGUUACUCUCUGUGGGCUGUACUUGUAAUCUUAAUCAAGUAAUUUCUGAAGGAAAUAACUUACUUUUACUCCAUUACAUUUUACCAAAUCACUUCAGUUACACAGCAUUAUAUUAUUAUAUUGUCAGUGUCAGAUGAAAAGUUUGUCACUCCAAAUAAUUUAUUUAAAUUAAAUUAUUUUACAUGAAUCGAUACUAUUGGUUACCAAUUAGCUGUCAAGCUCCCACCUAUUCCUCUCUUUGGAGUGGUGGAUCCAUGCCGUUAUUUAAUACUUUUUGGAGAAUUCAAUGAGGGGUGUUGACGUCAACCGCAUAUAUUCAAUGGUAAGAGAUGUUACGUAACUAGCCUCAUGUCAUGAAUAUGCAUAGCCAUCUCGAGACAACUCCUAAAUAAAGUGAUAUUUUUUUCUCAACGUUGCUGGGAAGUCACAUCUUCUACUUAUAUCAGUACACUCUUAACAGCCUAAGCAUUACGAAACUUAUAUUCAAUCAAAUAAACAUAAUGUAGCAAAUUCGACACUCUCAAUGACCUCCAUACAAAAACUCAUCGAUGUCACAUGAUGAAGAAUUGACCCAGCUAUCCUUUCCCCCUUCUUCUAUGGUGAAGUGCACGUCUUCACUCCUGAGGAUAUUUUUAUUUGUGGGUUCUUAGCCAGACGCGAUCAGAGCUUGUAGCAGCACAACCGAGAGGGAGGAGAAUGGGCCUGCCAAGAAAACAAAAUAGCCUUCCAAGUGGAAAGUAGAGAUUCGGAAGAGAAGGAUGUAGGGUUUAUCCUACUUUGGCAGGGAAAAGAUGGUUUGAGUUGACUUUGGCAAUUCAUAUCUGCACUGUUUGAUUAUUUAUUACAUACAUGAUUCUUACCAGAAUACUUGUAUUCCAUGCUGAAAUGUCUGAUUUGCAUACUAGUAACAUGAUUAAUAGUGAAAUUUCGAUAUUCAUUGUUUGACUGUUGUACCACUUACCUGAUCCUACUUGAUAUUUCAUUCUGAGUAAAAAAUUAAACAUCACACUUUGUGUAAAUAUUUUUAGGACGCAUUCACGAUCACAUUUACUUGAAAUUAUAUUGUGAAAAUAAAUGUUCAUUAAUGCUA
Molecule: long non-coding RNA, 1652 nt
Organism: Salmo salar (Atlantic salmon)
Lineage: Eukaryota; Metazoa; Chordata; Actinopteri; Salmoniformes; Salmonidae
Source: RefSeq, a predicted model, not a curated record